CCUAGGAACAACCUUUGGUCUUGUUUCAGGGCCAUGUUGUCUUGGCACUUGUAAACAGAAAAGAAACAAGUCAAAGACUAAAUAUAACUGGGUGGCUAAAAGUAGAUCAGGAAAGCAGGGAAGCAAGUGGUGUUUAUUACUCAGCUAUGACAGCACCUGCAGGCUUGUGUUUGAAAAGAGUAUGGAGAGCAUCUGCACCUCCAACAGCACCUGGAGCAACUGCAAGCAAGCAGGCUUAGCUGUGAAGGAAGGGAGCAGGCACGACACAACAGUGACACUGCUUGGCAGCAAGGAACAGAGAGGAGCUGAACCAGGACCCUCCGAAUGACAGCUGUGCUGACAAGCAGUCCUUGGAAGUGUGCGAGGAAAUGAUACGUGCCUGGCAGUCUUGCUGCUGCUCCUCCACUGCUGUGCCCUCUGUGCUGAAGAUCAUAAUGAAAUCCUAAGCAGGCAGAGAACCUCCUAAAAACCAGCAUCCAUUGUCCCUGAGGCCCUGAGCUCUGACAGGUGGUGGAUUGCCUUUCUGCUGGUGUUCAGAUGCCUGCAGUGCAGGAACCAGUAAAGAAGGCAUUCUGCUCCAGCCUGGGGCUACCAGAGAUGGAAUACAGCCUGCUGAUCCCAGCCUUGCAACUCUGGAUGUUACGUACUUCAGACUGAUUAUGGUUUCAGUAGAAACCACACAGAGUGCAGUAUUCACAUGGCCAACUUCCCCGUUAAAGAAAGGAUUGUUUGAUUCACCAUGCACAGUACGACUGGUCAAAAUUAUCUGUGGCUGAACUCCUCCUCACUCAGCAUCUCCUAGGUGACGGUGACUGCACGUACUCCAACGUAUUUUAAAAUAAAAUAUCCCAUGGUUACAAUUACCAGUUGAAUUAUGAGGAUAAUGGCAGUGUUUGGUAUCUCACAUAAAGAACUCCAGGAGGCCACUUGGAUUGUAAAUACUGUGCUUGUUAAUCCAAAUCAAAAAAAACCCACAUGGGACAGAAUUUAAAGUGCUGUAUGCAAUAUUUUCAUUUCUCUUGUCUAUCUGAACAGUACAAACAUCAAUGGAGCUGGUUUGGAGUUAAGAGAAAAGGGAAAAAACAUUCAAAAAUAUCCCAGAAUAAGAAAAAAAUAGCAUUUGGAGUCUUUUGAUGGAUCUUCCCAGGACUGCUGAAAAAUCAGGAUCUUCUAGAAUUGUAUUACUCAUUACAGGAAGAACAGAAGUAUUGCCUUACCGCUAGUAGUGGGCAUAUAAAUCUGAGGCAAGCACUCAUAAACGAAAAGGCAGCUGGGAUGUGCAUAAACGUGAGCCCGUGGGUUUGGUGACACGUAGCGAAGUGGUGCUUACAGUACAGGAGUACUGGGACAAGUGGGAGGAAUAAUGAUCUCCUGCUGCUGCUGCUGAGACAUAGCUGGAGCAUGAGCAUGGAGGAGGGAUAAGAGAUGUGUUCAGACAGAAGGCCUGCUCCUUCACCCAGCCCUCAGCUUCCUUUACCAG
This 1480-nucleotide long non-coding RNA is filed under the name Gallus gallus (chicken). RNAcentral describes it as "lncRNA (ENSGALG00010002740.1)". Lineage: Eukaryota; Metazoa; Chordata; Aves; Galliformes; Phasianidae. The record is from RNAcentral.